This 253-nucleotide ribosomal RNA is filed under the name uncultured bacterium. RNAcentral's name for it is "partial 16S ribosomal RNA". It matches the Rfam family "Bacterial small subunit ribosomal RNA", at positions 524 to 776 of the family's 1533-position model. The record is from RNAcentral.
UACGGAGGGUGCAAGCGUUGUUCGGAUUUACUGGGCGUAAAGCGCGUGUAGGCGGUCAGGCAAGUCGGAUGUGAAAUCCCGUGGCUCAACUACGGAAGUGCACCCGAAACUGCUUGACUUGAGUCCCGGAGAGGAAGGCGGAAUGCUUGGUGUAGAGGUGAAAUUCGUAGAUAUCAAGCGGAACACCGGUGGCGAAGGCGGCCUUCUGGACGAGGACUGACGCUGAGACGCGAAAGCGUGGGGAGCAAACGGG